RNAcentral lists this transfer RNA (99 nucleotides) under Colletotrichum cereale. RNAcentral's name for it is "tRNA-Leu". It matches the Rfam family "tRNA". From Rfam's summary of the family: Transfer RNA (tRNA) molecules are approximately 80 nucleotides in length. Their secondary structure includes four short double-helical elements and three loops (D, anti-codon, and T loops). The record is from RNAcentral. Lineage: Eukaryota; Fungi; Ascomycota; Sordariomycetes; Glomerellales; Glomerellaceae.
GGAAGGGUGGCCGAGUUGGUUAUGGCGCCAGGUUAAGGUCAGCUUAACAUGAGUUUCCUGGUGGGGCAACCCGCGCGAGUUCGAGUCUCGUCCCUUUCA